CACGUAGGGGGCGAGCGUUGUCCGGAUUUAUUGGGCGUAAAGAGCUCGUAGGUGGUUUGUUACGUCUGCUGUGAAAACCUAGGGCUUAACCCUGGGCUUGCAGUGGAUACGGGCAGACUAGAGGUAGGUAGGGGAGAAUGGAAUUCCUGGUGUAGCGGUGAAAUGCGCAGAUAUCAGGAGGAACACCGGUGGCGAAGGCGGUUCUCUGGGCCUUACCUGACACUGAGGAGCGAAAGCGUGGGGAGCGAACAGG
Molecule: ribosomal RNA, 253 nt
Filed under: uncultured bacterium
Lineage: Bacteria
Description: partial 16S ribosomal RNA
Rfam family: Bacterial small subunit ribosomal RNA
Source: RNAcentral